GGGAAAUGCCUUAAUGAGCCAGAGAAGUUGUGUGUCGUAAGUAUUUGGGUUGUACCGAGCGCUCUCUUGCUCGUGUAGUGCAGUGCUGAGGACGUGUAAAUCCUCUGGUGUGUCAAAUUUGGGAUUUUGCCCUAGCAAGAGAGAGAGAGUGUGUGUGUGUGUGUGUGUGUGUGUGUGUUGAGCGAGUCCUGGACUGAUGCAAUAAUCACAUUAACGCCACACACUGCCCCGGUCCUCCUCCUCCUGCUCAUAUGAGAUGUCAGACUGUACAUACAGAGUUUCAUUUUGUAAAGGUGAAACAGGAUUCUUUUCUCUCUUCUAAAAGAAUUUGAUUGGCUAACGUGGUUUUUUUUUCUUUUUUUUUUGGUUUUGUUUGUAUUUCCUGAAUAAAGCAAUUGUACAGCAUGGUGUACUUUCAGUGACCAGCUUGAGGUUUUUAUUCAGAAAUGAGAAAUAAAUAGUUGUUCAAAAUCCUUGUCCUUGAAUUUUUUUUUUUAUUUUAUUAUUCUUCUCUCGUCAGUACUCCUUUUCUCCGUUCUCCUGUUUGUUUGUUUUUUUUCUUUCUUCUUUCUUUCUCUCUCGCAUUUUAGACUUCGGUUCUACCUUCAUCGGUGGCAACUCGCGGUUGUUGCACAGUAAUUCCUGUCUGUUAAAGUCCAUCGCAACCUAGCGACAGCUUCCAGAACCGCCCAUGAGAAUGACCUUGAUACGUCCUUCCGUGGUCAAAAUACUACAAUCCCAAUUCUGAAAAAGUUGCGACCGUAUGGAAAAUAGAAAAAGCUCAGUGGUUACUGAUCGGAAGGUCGUCAGGUCAAACCCCAGCACCACUAAGCUGCCGCUGUUGAGCCCUUGAGCAAGGCCCUUAAUGAAUAAAUGAAAUAAAUGUAAGUCAGUCUGGAUAAACUCCUCCACCACAUGCCGCGAUGUAAAUAUUGAGAUGUUUAUCGGGUGGGACGCGGUGCAGGACGACACUCGUUAAGGAGCUCGUAAAAAAUACACAUGGUUCAAGUUAGCCUUGCGAGAAUGUUGUGGUGCCUUUAGAAACCUCUCCAGUAUCGGCAGUUCAGGCGGAAAUGGGAGGAGCGCCAGUGGAUAUUCGCAGACUUAAGUUACGUUGGUAUGUUGGACCUCUUUAAAAGGACGCAUCCAGCUGAAGAUGGUGGGAGAAUAAGUCGAAUGAUAUUUUUUGGAUGGACAGUACAGAAAGGCUGAGGGUACAGGACUGGCGAGAAUAGAUGCAAGUCCUACGGUGGUGAUUCCUACAAUACCGCCGUGGUUAUUUCCAAUGCCGAUAGUAGACCGCCAACUUGGGAAGAAAUGGAUAACAAAAAGAUAAAUGUUCCUAAGAGAGAUUUACAGAUGGAUUGAAAGACCCUGGCACAUGACGGAAAGCGGCUUCUGAUGGCGCUGCAUUGGGUGGAGGAAAUUCAGCCAUUCAGAACAGUCACUGGCUCGGACUCGUAUUCUCCUUCGACCAAGUUUAUUAAGUGGCAAGUCUACAUCUAGACAAGACGUAUUAUAUGAUAUUCUACAAAGCAUGUUCAAAAUGAGCAUAUUUAAUAGAUCGAGCAGAUUAUUCUUAUGGGUACCAGCACGUGUUGGGAUAGAAGGAAAUAAGUAAGCUGGUCAAAUGGCUAAGAAGGCACUGAAAAACACCAACAUGGAUACAAAAAUAACACAAAGUAAAGCAGAAAUGAAAGGAGUAAUUAGAGGGGCUAUGAUUAAGAAAAGAAACGAGGAGGUAAAAGGUCAUCAUCUAUCAUCUACCAACAUUCAAAAACAAGUUGGAAAUGGAAGGAAAAACUUUGGAAGCAGGACAUGAUAAUAUCUAGACUCCGUAUUUGGUCACACAGCUCUCGAUCAGACGCUAGCUAUUAUUGCAAACAUGACUCGGGUCAUUGCAAUAAAUGUGGACUACCAGAGGCCGUUGAACAUGUACUAUUAAAGUGUGUAGCUUAUGAAAGGGAACGACUCA
Ictalurus punctatus (channel catfish) is the source of this 1975-nucleotide long non-coding RNA. The record is from Ensembl. Lineage: Eukaryota; Metazoa; Chordata; Actinopteri; Siluriformes; Ictaluridae.